Long non-coding RNA from Clupea harengus (Atlantic herring), 811 nucleotides. Lineage: Eukaryota; Metazoa; Chordata; Actinopteri; Clupeiformes; Clupeidae. The record is from Ensembl.
CGUCUCCCGGUGAUGGACAAUCACCUCACCCACUGCCAGUGGGUUGACUAUUAACGAGCUUGAAAGCAGCCACCAUCUUGAGCGCCCAUCCUCUCGACAGGAGGUGGUUCAUGCCAAGGAGGCCACUACUUUUGUGGUCACCGCCCAGGACUCUUUUGGAUCUGAUCUCUUGGAUCUCAUUCCUCAGGCUGAGAGUCUGACAAAUCAGCAUCUUGCAGUGGAAGGGGACACAGUGGCAGCCCCAAUUCCCAUCCCGCCCCAGUCCCCAGGAGGUGAUGAGUGGCACCAGGCCAACUGAUCUUGCUACCAUCAAGGGCCCGCCUGUCUUUGGUAUGGAGGCUCCCCAUAUACAACCUCUGAUAGAGAAGGAGGUUGUGGAACCAGCAUCACUGCGUCACCAGCAUCACAGCGUCACGGCAGCACUCAGUGACAGGGAAACUGUGAAGCUCCUGGCAACAUGAAGGCAGUGGCUCCAACAGUGAGGGCUGUUUCCACCAAGGAUCGCGCACCAUCCUUUAAGAGAUUUUGUAGAAGCUGGUUAGGGUGGAUAUUUCCUCAGAAGAAAGGGGUUCAUCUUCCAGAUGACACCAACAAAUCCGUAAGGGAUCUGAUUUGAGUUUAAUAAAAUCAGGUAAAAUAAUGAUACUAGGUAGAUGUUAAACACAUCUUUCGCAUAAAAAUGUGUUCUUACAGAUUUUUUGGGACGAGUCUAAGCAGCGAUGGGUGGAUUGCAAUCAACCAGAGGAAGAGGUAACGUCUUAAAUGAGUAAUAGGUAUUAAAUAGACAAUCAUUUCUGUGCCACUGAUCUUU